AAAUGUGUGCGCUGAGCCGAGGCCUCUAAGCGGUAGGAGAGAAUCUGACCUCCGACAUUCUUUUCAAGACACGCGCCGGUGGACCGGGUCCUGGGAUUGGCUUACUCCCGGGCUGGACCUUGGGGUUCGCAUAUUUGAAAGCGUAAACUUGAGGAAUGACGGCGGGGUGAUGGGUAUUUUAUAGAGUGGGACUCAAUCGUGCUCAGCAACAGAUUUCUCCAAAUUCCCUUUUAAAAAGAGCCUCCCAGAGCUGUCGAAAUCUCCGCGGGGUGAAAGCUAAACUUUUGGAGUCGCUGUGUAGCCGGGUAGAGGACACGGCGGCGCGAGCCGGAAAGAUAAGUGUCCAGGCGAAUGGGAAAGGAAAGAUCUUAAUUUUUGUUCCUACUGUUAGCUGAAUGUCCAUAAAAAUCAAAGGGAAUGCGGGGAAGUUUUUAUUCCAGAGCGUUUCCAUGACACCCGCAGAGAUUUAAAAAAUUACAUUCCUCCCCCUACGCAGGUUUAAUUCGGAAAGAAGAGACUGCAGAGGAGAGGGAAGACCGUGAGUCUGCUUUCACCUAGGUUUAAAGCGAAUCAAAGACGGCUGUAAAAAGGGAAACCGGGACCAAAAACAGAUUUGGAGCCUCGAAACUCUCCAUUGAAGGUUUGGAAGAUACGUUGCUGCAGACUUGAAACCGGCUCCAAAUCCGGCCCAAACAUGGGCUGAAAAUAUGGCGCGCUAAUCUGCUGCUUCCCCUCCUCCUCAAGUUCUUUCUGACUCUUCCCACCUUUCCCAGUUUCCCUUCCAGACGUCUGCGGCUCCCCACUCCACCCCCAGGAUAGCUACUCUACAUCCCGACAAUUCCCAGCUUCUACACCCAGGAGGAGGAAUUCUGGAACCACCCAGAGCGAACUCGUGCCGGGGCGGGGUGGGGACCGGAGGAAGGUCCUGCUCCGAAUUCUCUCCAGAGCAGAAAAGAAUUCUAGAGGCUACAUGUGGGCUGCUUUCCCCCCUUCUUCCUUUUUUCCCUCGCAAACCAACAACCAAAAAGUGUUUGGUGAUGGAAAGAACACCAGUGGAAAACGGCAAAUAACAGUAUUUCCAACUCCG
This 1087-nucleotide long non-coding RNA is filed under the name Homo sapiens (human). RNAcentral's name for it is "non-protein coding LINC02084:12". The record is from RNAcentral. Lineage: Eukaryota; Metazoa; Chordata; Mammalia; Primates; Hominidae.